This 836-nucleotide long non-coding RNA is filed under the name Gossypium barbadense (sea-island cotton). Its description in RNAcentral is "long non-coding RNA (GBAR_LNC015204)". The record is from RNAcentral. Lineage: Eukaryota; Viridiplantae; Streptophyta; Magnoliopsida; Malvales; Malvaceae.
CUCGGCAUGAAGUGGUUAAGCUUGAUGAAGGCACCUAUAUUCAAUGGUGCAAACAGAUCAAAUUAAUAGUGGAUGGAUAUGGAUUUACAGGAUUCUUAGAUGGCACCGUUGUUCCACCGUCGCGGUUUAUGCCUCUGCCCGAUGGUUCGCGUGCUCCAAAUCCGGCAGCACAGGUGUUCCUACAGCAAGAUAGGUUUCUGACUUCAUGGCUGUUAUCAACUGUAAGUACAUCUCUUCAAUCGUCAUUUGAUGAUGCAUCCACGGCGUGUGAUAUGUGGAACAUGGCGAUAAAUUUGUUUGCGGCUGACACUGGUGCAAAGCAGUCACGCAUUCGGCAUGAGCUUCAUUCUUUGAAGAAAGGUAACCUUUCCAUUAAAGCUUAUGUUGCUAAAAUUAAAGAUCUGUGUGCUAUGUUAGAUGCCUCUGGUUCUCGUCUCUCUGAUGAAGAGAAGAUUAAGGUGAUGCUCGCGGGAUUACCGUUAGAGUUUGAGGCGGUUAUCUCCUCCGCUAGGCUGUCGACGGGUGUUCUGUCGUUACAAUGUGUGGUCGAUGCUCUAGUUGAUUGUGAGAGCCGUCAAGCUCAGGUGUUGCAGGAGGUAAGUUUGAAUGCAAAUCUGGUUGAAGAUGCGCCGUCGGUUGAAGGAGGAAAUCGUGGCGGCCGUACGUCUGUUCGUGGCCGUGGCAGGACCUUCCGAUCUCGCAUUCAAUGCCAGAUCUGUAGUCGUUUUGGUCAUGUAGCUCAGAAGUGCUACUAUCGUUAUCAUAGAGAGUCGAAUAAUUAAGGGGAUCCGUCGGGUGUUGAGAGAGCCGCAUUUGGACCAUGUGCGCAAGAAGAA